GACGAACGCUGGCGGCGUGCCUAACACAUGCAAGUCGAACGGAAAGGCCCUGCUCUUGUUGGUUUCAUGAUUGGCGAACGGGUGAGUAACACGUGUGUAACCCCCCCUUGUCUUUCGGAUAACUUCAGGAAACUGCGGCUCAUACCGGAUAGGAGCUUCUGCUGCAUGUUGGGCGUUGGAAAGAUUCGGCGGUAGGGGCUGGACUCGCUGCUUACCAGCUUCUUUGGGGGGUAGUGGCUUACCAAGUCUUUGACGGGUAGCCGGCCUGGGAGGGUUGCCGGCCACAUUACGACUGCGGUACGGACCAGACGCCUACGGGAGGCAGCAGUGGGGAGUAUUACACAGUGGGCGGACGCCAGAUACGACAGCGCUCCGAGCGGGAUAACGGGCUUCGGAUUGUAAACAGCUUUCGCCUGUGACGAGGCGAGCGUGACGGUAAUGAGUAAAGAAGCACCGGCUAACUACGUG
Molecule: ribosomal RNA, 468 nt
Filed under: uncultured bacterium
Lineage: Bacteria
Description: partial 16S ribosomal RNA
Rfam family: Bacterial small subunit ribosomal RNA
Source: RNAcentral